AUUGAACGCUGGCGGCAUGCCUAACACAUGCAAGUCGAACGGCAGCACAGCAGUAGCAAUACUGUGGGUGGCGAGUGGCGGACGGGUGAGGAAUACGUCGGAAUCUGCCCAGUCGUGGGGGAUAACUAGCCGAAAGGUUAGCUAAUACCGCAUACGACCGAGAGGUGAAAGCGGGGGACCGCAAGGCCUCGCGCGAUUGGAUGAGCCGACGUCGGAUUAGCUAGUUGGCGGGGUAAAGGCCCACCAAGGCGACGAUCCGUAGCUGGUCUGAGAGGAUGAUCAGCCACACUGGAACUGAGACACGGUCCAGACUCCUACGGGAGGCAGCAGUGGGGAAUAUUGCACAAUGGGCGCAAGCCUGAUGCAGCGACGCCGCGUGAGGGAUGACGGCCUUCGGGUUGUAACCGUCUUCUAUAGGACGAAGCGCAAGUGACGGUACCUAUAGAAGAAGACACCGGCCAACUACGUGCCAGCAGCCGCGGUAA
This 485-nucleotide ribosomal RNA is filed under the name uncultured bacterium. Its description in RNAcentral is "bacterial SSU rRNA". It matches the Rfam family "Bacterial small subunit ribosomal RNA", at positions 29 to 523 of the family's 1533-position model. The record is from RNAcentral.